UGACAAUUUUUGUCAUUUUUAAUGAUAUUUGGUGUCUUUUCUUAAUGCCACAGCUCCUGGAUUCAUGUGAUUGUGUCAGAAUCUCAGCUUUGGUUUGAAGAAGAAUUUAAAAAAAAUGGAAUCUAGCCUCCAAGGUCGUGGAGAAAAACUUGAAAACAUGGCUCGUAAAGAUUCAAAAACCCAAAGACCCACAAACCAAGGGAACUGACUAGACAAGUGCUGUCAUGUCUUCUCAAGAGAGCUGCUGAAGAUGCAAGAAUUGCAGCAAAGGGAUACUUAAAGAAAAAUGGGAAAGAUUGCAAAGCUCCUUCCCCCGGCACGCGAGACAGCGACUGGAGCCACGCGGGGCCUUGGAGCCUUGCAGCUGGUGAGUGACCGUGGCCGGCUCUCCGCGGGCGCGCGCCACGGGAGGCGGGCGCAACUUGC
Molecule: long non-coding RNA, 426 nt
Filed under: Gopherus agassizii (Agassiz's desert tortoise)
Lineage: Eukaryota; Metazoa; Chordata; Testudines; Testudinidae
Description: lncRNA (ENSGAGG00000001733.1)
Source: RNAcentral